This is a long non-coding RNA of Drosophila grimshawi, 1370 nucleotides long. RefSeq lists it as uncharacterized. Lineage: Eukaryota; Metazoa; Arthropoda; Insecta; Diptera; Drosophilidae. The transcript is spliced from 3 exons. The record is from RefSeq and is a predicted model, not a curated record.
CAAUUCACAUCGAAAACACACUGUUUACAUCUCUUAGUCAUCGUCGUUUUGGUCUCUGGGGCGUCGCAUGUAAAUCUAUUUUAUGGGUCGCCGUUGUUUGCCGUGAAGUCAAAAGUUAUGCAAGCAGCGAGGAUUGCGUGUGCCCUGCACCUAAAUCGCCAAUGAAAACCACAAGCUAAGUGGAAACUCAAAGCCUGAGAGGAUUGUGGGAGCAGAGGGUGGCACAUGUGGCGUGUGGAGUAUACUAGUAUAUAUAGUAUCUGCGUGCCGAAGAUGAAAGCGUUUUAAUUUUUAACGAGCCUGCUUGCCAGAUUCCAACCCGUGUUCUGGGAUCAUCUUUUCGUACUGUUUUGCAUUUGCAAUAACCAGGCAUGACAUUUUUGGCCGCACUUGAUGGAAACAGAACGCUUGAGUUACCCACCAGCCAGAAGCCUCAGGAAUUGAACUAAUCCAGCCAAGCGCUGUCCAUAAAGUGCUGUCCAAGCAGCAUUGAGGUUUUCGGUACGGGAGUGGAGGGACUGGACGCAUCAGUGAGAAAAUUAAAGUAUUAUCCCAGGAGACUCGAUUGCGUGCCACAUUCGAACCCCUUGACCAGCAACCAACUACUGAUAUAUUUAUAUAUAUGGAGCAAUGGUUAUAGUCUUACCUUCAUCCACGGGGGUGGAGUAUGUGUAUGUGUGUGUGUGCUCGUUUGUUCGAUCAAAAGUUACGAGCUCCUUAGAUUGGACAUUAAAUGGACACUAAAAUAUUUUCCAUCUGCACGCAGCAUCCCCAAACCAAACCGAACCAAACCGUACCGUACCGUACCGUACCGGUACAUGCGAAAUAAAUGUCAUGAAACAACUCAUUGACAGGCACAUAAGGACACUGGUUUUAUGGUCCACAGAUAUGACCAAAAUAUAUGAUUACCAUGUGUCCAGCAGCAUGCGAGCUCGUAAAUAGGCAUUUUCUCUGCUUUAGUUCUCUUUCGGACACAACAGCAGCAACAACAACAGCAACAGCAAACACUCACCCCAACCACUCAUCCCCCAACUCACCCCCAUAUUCCAUACGAUGCUCGUCCUGGCCGUUUGGUGACUACUUUUUCUUGAUUUUUGUUGCCUUUCGCUUGGUUAUUUACCAAGUGAUCCAGGUGGGACACAAGCCCGGCAAUGCACUGUCACAGUCUUGGCCAGUCGUAAAAAUCAAAAUAAAAUGAAACUUAUGCGUGAUGUUUGCCCUUUCACAUUCGGUUUUCGCAGUAACCUCUUCAAUAGCUUGUUGCUAUUGCGUGUUUGGGUCACUUGUUCCUAUUACUAAUGACACAAUCUAUAGUUAAAUAGAAUGCGUAAUUUCUGUAUAAAAUGUCGACUUUUAUAGCAUUAGUUAGC